UGGGGAUCCUUCGGGACCUAUCGUUUGAGGAGGGGUUUACUUCACAUCAGCUUGUUGGCGAGGUAAAAGCUCACCAAGGCUAUGACGUGUAGCCGGCCUGAGAGGGUGUUCGGCCUCAUUGGGACUGAGACACUGCCCAGACUCCUACGGGAGGCUGCAGUAAUGAAUAUUCGGCAAUGCGCGAAGGCGUGACCGAGCGACGCCGCGUGGGUGAAGAAGGCCUUAGGGUUGUAAAUCCCUUUUGUGUUCUAGGAAUAAACCAGUUAUAAUACGACUGGCGAUGACCGGGUCACGAAUAAGUUCCGGCUAACUCCGUGCCAGCAGCCGCGGUAAUACGGAGGGAGCAAACGUUGUUCGGAAUCACUGGGCAUAAAGGGCACGUAGGCGGCUUGGUAAGUGGAAUGUGAAAUUUUUCGGCUCAACCGGAAAAGUGCAUCCCAAACUGCCUGGCUUGAGUAUAGUAGAGGUGAGUGGAACUCUAGGUGGAGCGGUGAAAUGCAUUGAUAUCUAGAGGAACGUCGGUGGCGAAAGCGACUCACUGGGCUAUUACUGACGCUGAGGUGCGAAAGCUAGGGGAGCAAACAGGAUUAGAUACCCUGGUAGUCCUAGCUGUAAACGAUGAGCACUAGAUAGGGGGGGUACCCAUGCCGUCCUUGUCGUAACUAAUGUAUUAAGUGCUCCGCCUGGGGAGUACGGUCGCAAGGCUGAAACUCAAAGGAAUUGACGGGGGCUCACACAAGCGGUGGAGUAUGUUGUUUAAUUCGAAGCAACGCGAAGAACCUUACCAGGGCUUGACAUGCACGGAUUAGCUUUAUGAAAGUUUAGUAACUCCUUAACGGGUGGAACGUGCACAGGUGCUGCAUGGCUGUCGUCAGCUCGCGUCGUGAGAUGUUGGGUUAAGUCCCAUAACGAGCGAAACCCUUGUCACUAGUUGCCAGCGCGUAAUGGCGGGGACUCUAGUGAGACUGCCGGUGCUUGAACCGGAGGAAGGCGGGGAUGACGUCAAGUCCUCAUGGCCCUUAUGUCCUGGGCUACAAACGUACUACAAUGGUCGGUACAAAGGGCAGCGAAAUCGUGAGAUGGAGCAAAUCUCAGAAAGCCGGCCUCAGUUCAGAUUGUAGGCUGCAACUCGCCUACAUGAAGUUGGAAUCGCUAGUAAUCGCGGAUCAGCUACGCCGCGGUGAAUAUGUUCCUGAGCCUUGUACACACCGCCCGUCAAGCCACGAAAGCUGGAAGCGCCCGAAGUCAUACCUCUAACCUCUUCGGAGGAAGGGGAUGCCGAAGGUGAAGCUGGUGAUUGGGACUAAGUCGUAACAAGGUA
RNAcentral lists this ribosomal RNA (1321 nucleotides) under metagenome. RNAcentral describes it as "bacterial SSU rRNA". It matches the Rfam family "Bacterial small subunit ribosomal RNA", at positions 202 to 1498 of the family's 1533-position model. The record is from RNAcentral.